This 68-nucleotide small nuclear RNA is filed under the name Canis lupus familiaris (dog). Its description in RNAcentral is "U4 spliceosomal RNA". It matches the Rfam family "U4 spliceosomal RNA", at positions 1 to 68 of the family's 138-position model. From Rfam's summary of the family: U4 small nuclear RNA (U4 snRNA) is a component of the major U2-dependent spliceosome. The structure of U4 snRNA from yeast and human has been reported. U4 snRNA presents a k-turn RNA motif in the 5p-SL related to recognition of Snu13 protein. The record is from Rfam by way of RNAcentral. Lineage: Eukaryota; Metazoa; Chordata; Mammalia; Carnivora; Canidae. RNAcentral also lists the same sequence under 3 other names.
AGCUUUGUGCAGUGGCAGUAUCAUAGCCUAUGAGGUUUAUCUGAGGCAUGAUUGUUGCUAAUUGUUAA